This 460-nucleotide ribosomal RNA is filed under the name uncultured bacterium. Its description in RNAcentral is "partial 16S ribosomal RNA". It matches the Rfam family "Bacterial small subunit ribosomal RNA", at positions 338 to 795 of the family's 1533-position model. The record is from RNAcentral.
CCUACGGGAGGCAGCAGUGAGGAAUAUUGGUCAAUGGGCGAGAGCCUGCACCAGCCAAGUCGCGUGAAGGAUGACGGCCCUACGGUUUGUAAACUUCUUUUGUCAGGGAGCAAUUUGGUCCACGCGUGUGCUUAGCGAGAGUACCUGAAGAAAAAGCAUCGGCUAACUCCGUGCCAUCAGCCGCGGUAAUACGGAGGAUGCGAGCGUUAUCCGGAUUUAUUGGGUUUAACUGGUGCGUAGGCGGAAUAUCAAGUCAGCGGUAAAAAUUCGGGGCUCAACCACUUAGUGCCGUUGAAACUGAUGGUCUUGAGUGGGCGAGAAGGAUGCGGAAUGCGUGGUGUAGCGGUGACAUGCAGAGAUAUCACGCAGAACUCCGAUUGCGAAGGCAGCAUACCGGAGCCCAACUGACGCUGAAGCACGAAAGCGUGGGUAUCGAACAGGAUUAGAUACCCCAGUAGUC